UAGGGAAUCUUGCGCAAUGGGCGAAAGCCUGACGCAGCGACGCCGCGUGAGGGAAGAAGGCCUUCGGGUCGUAAACCUCUGUCCUUGGGGACGAUGAUGACGGUACCCAAGGAGGAAGCCCCGGCUAACUACGUGCCAGCAGCCGCGGUAAUACGUAGGGGGCGAGCGUUGUCCGGAAUCACUGGGCGUAAAGGGUGCGUAGGCGGCUUGGCAAGUCCUGUGUGAAGGGUCGCGGCUCAACCGCGGUGGGUCAUGGGAAACUGCCAAGCUCGAGUGCCGGAGAGGAUAGCGGAAUUCCCGGUGUAGCGGUGAAAUGCGUAGAGAUCGGGAGGAACACCAGUGGCGAAGGCGGCUAUCUGGAAGGUCACUGACGCUGAGGCACGACAGCUGGGGGAGCAAACAGGAUUAGAUACCC
Molecule: ribosomal RNA, 415 nt
Filed under: uncultured bacterium
Lineage: Bacteria
Description: bacterial SSU rRNA
Rfam family: Bacterial small subunit ribosomal RNA
Source: RNAcentral